UGGUGCCUGCAAGACGAAUUCUAAGUUCCACCCUUAACCUUCUUUUCUUCCCCCCAGACAAACCUAACUCAAAUGUGAUAGUUAAGGGCUAUUUAAAGGGGGUACAGCCCCUUUAAAAAAGGAUACAACCUCUAUCAGCGGAUAACCCUCGUACACCCAACUCCGUGGGCCUUAAAGCAGCCACCCCCAAAGAUUGCGUCAAAGCUCCAUCAACUAAAAACCCUCAAAACCAAUACGACUCCCUACACUCACAGCAGGCCAACCUAUAACAAUAGAUGAACUAAUGCUAGAACGAGUAACCAGGACACCACGUCCCCCCAAGCGCCAGCCUACCACACCAUUAACAGUAAAGCCUCAAUAAUAACCACACCCCCACCAUUGAACACACCCUGUCAAUCCAACUCAGGGGCGCACACUGGAGUGAUCAUAGUCUACAAAAGGAACUCGGCAAACCUAAGACCCGACUGUUUACCAAAAACAUAGCCUUCAGCCAAACAAGUAUUGAAGGUGAUGCCUGCCCAGUGACACUACGUUUAACGGCCGCGGUAUCCUAACCGUGCAAAGGUAGCGCAAUCAAUUGUCCCAUAAAUCGAGACCUGUAUGAAUGGCUAAACGAGGUCUUAACUGUCUCCUGUAGAUGAUCGGUGAAACUGAUCUCUCUGUACAAAAGCAGAGAUAAACACAUAAGACGAGAAGACCCUGUGGAACUUCAAAAUCAAUAGCCACCCCACCCAACUUACCAACCCACCCGGGCCCACCAUCUAAAACACUGGCUAACAUUUUA
RNAcentral lists this ribosomal RNA (784 nucleotides) under Primolius auricollis (yellow-collared macaw). RNAcentral describes it as "partial 16S ribosomal RNA". The stretch from base 422 to 675 matches the Rfam family "Archaeal large subunit ribosomal RNA", at positions 1787 to 2143 of the family's 2987-position model. Lineage: Eukaryota; Metazoa; Chordata; Aves; Psittaciformes; Psittacidae. The record is from RNAcentral.